Molecule: small RNA, 126 nt
Filed under: Marmota monax (woodchuck)
Lineage: Eukaryota; Metazoa; Chordata; Mammalia; Rodentia; Sciuridae
Source: RNAcentral
GCCAGGCAUGGUGUGCAUGACUGUAAUCCCAGUGGCUUGGGAGGCUGAGGCAGGAGGAUUGCAAGUUCAAAGCCAGCCUCAGCAAUGUAGCAAGGCCUUAGGCAACUUUGCAAGAUCCUGUCUCUA